GGUGAGGUGGCCGAGUGGUCUAAGGCGCUAGGUUCAGGUCCUAGUCAACAUCUGUUGGCGUGGGUUCGAAUCCCACCCUCAUCA
Mycoemilia scoparia is the source of this 84-nucleotide non-coding RNA. Lineage: Eukaryota; Fungi; Kickxellomycota; Kickxellomycetes; Kickxellales; Kickxellaceae. The record is from the annotation of a GenBank genome assembly.